UAGAAUGCACUUUUAGAAUAAAGGAUUUAAAUUUUUUGAUGGAUGGUUUGAUUUUUACGUUUCAACUAGUGGUUUAGUAAUCUAUUCAAUAACUUGUCCAUGAUUAAUAUGUAUGCUGAUGCUUCCAUUUUGAGAAGAUAAUGUUCAUUAAUAAUUAUAGUUAAUAAAUCAUAAUGGGUACUUUUAUCACAUUGCAUAUGCCAAUUAAGAAGCAUUAGAUGCUUCCAUUGAAAAAAAGAGUCAGCACAUGGAGACAGAGACCAUGAGCCAAAGCCAACCAAAAAUGCCAAAGUCAGAGAAAAUAAAAAAAAUGGUAAAUGGCCCAUGAUCAUGCACAUGAGAGUGAGAAGGAAAAAAAAGUAAAUAAAUAUGGAUUGAUGGGCAUGUGACAUGUGUCCAAUGCUUAAAGCAAGGACCCAGUAAUAAUCAACUAGAAGUGAAAUGAAAAGAAGAGGGACCAAUACCAAAUUAGCAAUUGGAGAUUUCAAUCAUCUAGCUAGUUGUCAGAAAAAAACUGGGAUGGUGAUCAGAAUAUGUCAG
Molecule: unclassified non-coding RNA, 540 nt
Filed under: Hevea brasiliensis (rubber tree)
Lineage: Eukaryota; Viridiplantae; Streptophyta; Magnoliopsida; Malpighiales; Euphorbiaceae
Source: RNAcentral